Molecule: ribosomal RNA, 895 nt
Filed under: uncultured Pseudomonadota bacterium
Lineage: Bacteria; Pseudomonadati; Pseudomonadota
Description: bacterial SSU rRNA
Rfam family: Bacterial small subunit ribosomal RNA
Source: RNAcentral
UCGAACGCGAAAGUCCCGCAAGGGAUAAGUAGAGUGGCAAACGGGUGAGUAACGCGUGGGUGACCUGCCUUCGAGCGGGGGAUAACGUUCCGAAAGGGACGCUAAUACCGCAUAACAUCCUGCCUUUCAAGAGGUGGAGAUCAAAGCCAGGGAUCGCAAGACCUGGCACUCGAAGAGGGGCCCGCGUCCGAUUAGCUAGUUGGUGAGGUAACGGCUCACCAAGGCAACGAUCGGUAGCCGGCCUGAGAGGGCGGACGGCCACACUGGGACUGAGACACGGCCAGACUCCUACGGGAGGCAGCAGUGGGGAAUUGUUCGCAAUGGGCGCAAGCCUGACGACGCAACGCCGCGUGGAGGAUGAAGAUCUUCGGGUCGUAAACUCCUUUCGAUCGAGACGAAUCCCUCUGGGGUGAACAAUCCCGGAGGUUGACGGUACCGAGAGAAGAAGCCCCGGCUAACUCCGUGCCAGCAGCCGCGGUAAUACGGGGGGGGCAAGCGUUGUUCGGAAUUACUGGGCGUAAAGGGCUCGUAGGCGGCCAACUAAGUCAGACGUGAAAUCCCUCGGCUUAACCGGGGAAUUGCGUCUGAUACUGGAUGGCUGGAGUUUGGGAGAGGGAUGCGGAAUUCCAGGUGUAGCGGUGAAAUGCGUAGAUAUCUGGAGGAACAUCGGUGGCGAAGGCGGCAUCCUGGACCAAUACUGACGCUGAGGAGCGAAAGCCAGGGGAGCAAACGGGAUUAGAUACCCCGGUAGUCCUGGCCCUAAACGAUGAAUGCUUGGUGUGGCGGGUAUCGAUCCCUGCCGUGCCGAAGCUAACGCAUUAAGCAUUCCGCCUGGGGAGUACGGUCGCAAGGCUGAAACUCAAAGGAAUUGACGGGGGCCCGCACAAGCGGUGGA